Molecule: ribosomal RNA, 270 nt
Filed under: uncultured bacterium
Lineage: Bacteria
Description: partial 16S ribosomal RNA
Rfam family: Bacterial small subunit ribosomal RNA
Source: RNAcentral
AGUGAACGCUGGCGGCGUGCUUAACACAUGCAAGUCGAGCGAAUUCUGGCAGCGUAUCGCCAGAGUUAGCGGCAGACGGGUGAGUAAUACUUGGGUAAUCUACCCUUGAGUGGGAAAUAACCUGCCGAAAGGCGAGCUAAUGUCCCAUAAGACCACGGGAGCGCAUGCUCCAGGGGUCAAAGGUCCGCAAGGGCCGCUUAUGGAGGGACCCGAGUCCUAUCAUGGUAGUUGGUGAGGUAACGGCUCACCAAGCCUUUGACGGGUAGCCGG